Nicotiana tabacum (common tobacco) is the source of this 367-nucleotide long non-coding RNA. RefSeq lists it as uncharacterized. The record is from RefSeq and is a predicted model, not a curated record. Lineage: Eukaryota; Viridiplantae; Streptophyta; Magnoliopsida; Solanales; Solanaceae.
AUUCCAACAGAGCAGAAGUAUUCUUUUCAGAUCUUCAGACUUUCAAGAAUACUUUUAUCUCUCUUCAUUUUUCUUCCAUCUCUUGCAAUUUCAGUAGAACAGUCACGUCCGAUGGCUCUAAGCGCUGGCUGCACAACAUAGAAGCCUAAGGUGCGAAAGAUGCAAAAAGGACACGACUGACCACAACAUCAUCAAUGCAUCAAGCAUCAAAUUUUCUGAAUAUGUAAAUAGUAAUAGUAAGUUCAUGGCAGUAAAAAAUGUGCUACUUACAAUAUUUCGUAACUUGUGUACAACUUGAUUUUGUUUCUAAAUGCAUCGAUGAUAUGAAGGUUCGUGGAUGUGAAGAAUGUAUUCUUUGGCAGCCACA